GACGAACGCUGGCGGCGUGCCUAAUACAUGCAAGUUGAGCGCUGAAGGUUGGUACUUGUACCAACUGGAUGAGCAGCGAACGGGUGAGUAACGCGUGGGGAAUCUGCCUUUGAGCGGGGGACAACAUUUGGAAACGAAUGCUAAUACCGCAUAAAAACUUUAAACACAAGUUUUAAGUUUGAAAGAUGCAAUUGCAUCACUCAAAGAUGAUCCCGCGUUGUAUUAGCUAGUUGGUGAGGUAAAGGCUCACCAAGGCGAUGAUACAUAGCCGACCUGAGAGGGUGGUCGCCCACAUUGGGACUGAGACACGGCCCAAACUCCUACGGGAGGCAGCAGUAGGGAAUCUUCGGGAAUGGACGAAAGUCUAACCGAGCAACGCCGCGUGAGUGAAGAAGUUUUUCGGUUGGUAAAAAUCUGUUGGUGGAGAAGAACGUUGGUGAGAGUGGAAAGCCCAUCAAGUGACGGUACCUACCCAGAAAGGGACGGCUACCUCCGU
RNAcentral lists this ribosomal RNA (496 nucleotides) under uncultured bacterium. RNAcentral's name for it is "partial 16S ribosomal RNA". It matches the Rfam family "Bacterial small subunit ribosomal RNA", at positions 28 to 506 of the family's 1533-position model. The record is from RNAcentral.